UAGUGAGGGAGAGUCAGUGAGGUUACCAUAGUGAUAUAGUGAGGGAGAGUCAGUGAGGUUACCAUAGUGAUAUAGUGAGGGAGAGUCAGUGAAGUUAUCAUAGUGAUAUAGGGAGAGUCAGUGAGGUUACCAUAGUGAUAUAGUGAGGGAGAGUCAGUGAAGUUACCAUAGUGAUAUAGUGAGGGAGAGUCAGUGAAGUUAUCAUAGUGAUAUAGGGAGAGUCAGUGAGGUUACCAUAGUGAUAUAGUGAGGGAGAGUCAGUGAAGUUACCAUAGUGAUAUAGUGAGGGAGAGUCAGUGAAGUUAUCAUAGUGAUAUAGGGAGAGUCAGUGAGGUUACCAUAGUGAUAUAGUGAGGGAGAGUCAGUGAAGUUACCAUAGUGAUAUAGUGAGGGAGAGUCAGUGAAGUUAUCAUAGUGAUAUAGGGAGAGUCAGUGAGGUUAUCAUAGUGAUAUAGUGAGGGAGAGUCAGUGAAGUUAUCAUAGUGAUAUAGGGAGAGUCAGUGAGGUUAUCAUAGUGAUAUAG
This is a long non-coding RNA of Oncorhynchus keta (chum salmon), 523 nucleotides long. RefSeq lists it as uncharacterized. The transcript is spliced from 3 exons. The record is from RefSeq and is a predicted model, not a curated record. NCBI's taxonomy places the organism in Eukaryota, Metazoa, Chordata, Actinopteri, Salmoniformes, Salmonidae.